AAUUGGGGUACCCCGGUAUGGCAAAAGCAACGAAGAAGAGAAAAGGGGGGAGGGAUUGAAAUCCCUUGUUUGGGGUUCAUUUCCGACCAAGCCAGUUCGUUCCUUGUGUGGACAGCUUCCUCAAUGAGGAUGACUAUGUUUGUCCCCCUUCUCAUGUUAAGCCAAAUCAGUCCAAGCUUUCAAAGGACAUAGAAAUGUAUUUCAAGAUGUUUCAGUCACCGCAUUGGGGCGGCAAGCGGUGCUACAAGUGCGUGUGAUGUUGUCGAGGUACUAUUCUUUAUUUUAAUGACUAAUUAGGUGUUCAUGAAUGUAAUUAGAGGCUAGGUUGUAUGUAGUUCAUUUGAUUUAUAGGACAUAAAUUGGAUAAAGGUAUACUUGUUUACAACUCCCUGGAUGAAAAUAUGUAUUUAUUCACGUUUAAUAUCAUCAAGGAUGAAAGGUCUAGGUUCCAUCUUAAUAUCAUUUAUUCACGUUUGUUUGAUUGGUAAGAAAUCUUUUUGUGCUAUUUCUGCCUUAUUGUUUGCAAUAUUGUAUUGUCUCUCAUGGAGAUCCACAUUCUAAUUGAUGCAAAUUGCAAAGUUCAAUAAAGCUAUAACUCAAGUCAAUGUAUUGUAUAAAGAGGCCUAAACAAUUUUAUCCUUUCUCAGGACUGAAUAGCCACACUUAGAUAUGGUUAUCAACUGUGAAUAUGGCUAACCACCUAUAAACUAUAAAUUGUUACUUCAGAAAAACAAUAAUCAUAUUUAUAGUUGAAAUAACUUCACAACAACAAGAAGGAGUUAUUGUUUGUUGUAAUUUUCUCCUAGAAAAUAAGGACAUGUGCGUUGUAUGGGAAAGUAUCAAAAUAAAAUAAAAAAGUGAAGGUUUAUUUGUCCAAAAAUUAAGAAUUACGUAAUAGGGUUAAACAUAUAGAAAGUAGGAUAACAAAUAUGAUGUCAUUUAUUCAAAGUCGGUUUUCUAGAGCAGAUGUUGAUGACAGGAUAGAAGCUGCAAAACAGGUGUACCAUAUUCCCCUCAAAUUUAAUUUUCAAAGUUGAUGUUAUAUUUGUAUCAAUUUUAUAAACUGAUUGAGAUAGCUUAAUAGGUCUACUAAAGUUAAUUCCUAAUUUGUUCUUUAAUGAACUAGUCUACUAUAGUAGUUCAAUAACUUCAAUUGCCAUACAUAGAAGCGACAUUAUGGUAUGCUAAUAUAUAUGUGUUUGAUAAUGUUAUUGGGUUGACUAUUUUGAUUUAUAUGCAUUGAAUAUUUGUCAUUGAGUUGAUUAUGUGAGUAUAUAACUAUAUAUGGUACUUUGAGUUAAGGACACAACAUAUCGCUAACUUGUAUUCUUUUGCUUUCGCUUUCAAUAGUUUCAAGAUUCUACUACUACCCCAACUUCUUUUGGUUCUCCAAAUUUAGAUUGUAAUGAAGAUAAUGAAAAUGGU
RNAcentral lists this long non-coding RNA (1425 nucleotides) under Lupinus angustifolius (narrow-leaved blue lupine). Its description in RNAcentral is "long non-coding RNA (LANG_LNC003194)". Lineage: Eukaryota; Viridiplantae; Streptophyta; Magnoliopsida; Fabales; Fabaceae. The record is from RNAcentral.